CUGGGAUACCGAGUCCAAAAGGCUUGUGCUACAGGAAGUUCUAAAACAAAACAAAACAAACCUGGAAGACUCCAUCAUAGUUCCAAUAUAGAAAACGACUGUAUCCUUUGGAACAUAGCCUGUGUUUCUAUUCUGAUAGGAUGUUUUUUAAAAAAGGAUACCUUCUUUUCUGAAAAUCGUAUAUGCUCCAGCAAGGAGGGGAUCUUGAUUUUGAUUACUGAAAGACAUGAAAGAAAAUCUGCCAAAAUCUGCCACUGGCAAUUUUUUUUUAUUUUUUUUUUUUGGUGACUGGUUGACUGGUUUUCAGUUUCAGCCAGCUCUGCUCUCCUGUAAAGCCAGUGGACCCAAACAGGCCUGUGUGACUACACCGAAUCCUCCAGUCUUCAGGGAGGCUGCCUUUCAUGCAUACCUUGAGGUGGUACUGCUGCUGAAAGAGGAUGCUUGCUUGAUGGAAAUAGCAGACCUGAGGGCCUGUGCUGAAUGGGUAUUGCUCAUUGCUUUACCAGCUGUGAUGAUGCCCUCAGAAGUUCCAGUGCCUUCAGGUAUAAAGGUGUUACUGGACUGAGCUCCACAGAGAAGAACUUAAUCAGAAGGGAGGAGAUGCAGCAAGAGCUCUUCUCGAAUGGUCAUCUGGAAAGGCUUGGGCACAGUCACUUUUGGUGACCAUGCCUUCUGCUUCUUCCGCAUCGUUCUGAAGACCGGCGAGUUUGGAAAGGGGGAGAGUAACAUUUUCCAGCUGCAGCAAAAAACUGCUGUAUUUACUGGUGUCUGCAAAGCACUUGAGAACCUUCAGCAUUCUGAAGUCAAGUCACUAGGUGCUGUAUGAAUGCUGCUUUAGCCAUUUCUGUAACGCGCUGUGCCGUGAGCGGGAUCUGCACAAGCUUCAGUUCAAACAGCGCUGGGCAGCCCGCCCUUGUGCUGGAGAAAUCCCAGCCCUUCACAAUGUAAAGACACCCGUGAAAAAACGACGCCGCUGGACACGGCGCGUUGGAGUCGUGUCCACAAUUGGAAGCUUGAAGCGAUGGGCAAGCCCUCACCAGAGCUGGCACCCACACUGGC
Non-coding RNA from Anas platyrhynchos (mallard), 1059 nucleotides. NCBI's taxonomy places the organism in Eukaryota, Metazoa, Chordata, Aves, Anseriformes, Anatidae. The record is from RefSeq and is a predicted model, not a curated record.